RNAcentral lists this long non-coding RNA (2574 nucleotides) under Volvox carteri. Its description in RNAcentral is "long non-coding RNA (VCAR_LNC003561)". The record is from RNAcentral. Lineage: Eukaryota; Viridiplantae; Chlorophyta; Chlorophyceae; Chlamydomonadales; Volvocaceae.
CCGUGGCAGCUACCUGCGAAACCCUGCCUUCCCCGGUAUUUCGGGGCACCCUCAUCCAGUCACCCUGGUCAACUUCUCAGUGGAUCGCUCAGGUUCCGCACCCACCACCAGCAUCCAACGGAAUCUGCUGGAUCGCCAGCGGCUCAACUCCAUUCCUGGUCAGCUCGCAAGUUAAGUUUAUCCCAGGUCAUCACCGUCCAUCGACUAGGGGCACUUCACCUUCCAAAAUCAAAAGGAUAAUCAAGCUUGACAGGUCUCGGUCCUGGGAUCUCCCGAGCACAUUGCUGCGUGCUCUACCAGUAGGGCCUGACCUAUGUGUGAAUGUUGCGGUGCCUCGUACACAUUCCUUGCCUCCCAUGCUUCGUACACAUUCCUUGCCUCCCAUGCCUCGUACACAUUCCAGUGUACAUUCCAGCAUGUCGGACGCGGUGCAAGACUAUUUCCCUAAGUUCACAUUGAUUUUGUAAGCUCGAAAUACUUUGUCACGCUUACUUCCAUUGAGUGGUUUUUUUUAAUACUUGCCGCAGGUAAGCAUUUGAUAGGCAUGUCUCAGCCUUCAUGCUGCAAGUUUGAUACUUCAAGCACGUGUGCCUAUCACUGGACUGUCCGGAGGAAAGUGAAGAGGACAUGCUUUACCAUCAGGCAAGCUUUUCGGAGUUACAGCUGGCGUGACACACUUGUGGGGACCUACACGAAAAUGUGAGUAGCUCUCUGGACCCAAUCAGCUGCGAAUCUGAUGUUAAGUCAUGCUCUGCUGUCUGGUCAAUCAGAUUGCCAGUUGCGCACACCGGUCUAUGAGCACACCAACAACCAUCCUAACAAGCACGCAAUCUUUUUGGGUGAGGCCCCGGGCGCGAAGCGCCAUUCGGGGGGCCGAGCCCCCGGGGUUCACUGCUGUCAGUCAGUCAGUCAGUCAGUCAGUCAGUCAGUCAGUCAGUGGCUUACAUAUCUCGCCCCGCAAAAAAUAGCGUUUGAAUGCUAUAUCCAUUCUAUAUCGAAAUGCCAAAGGAGACAUUCCAGAUAAAUCGGAGCGCGAAGAUAACUUUCCAUGGCUCCGAGUUUGACAUUAAGUUACAUAUCUCGCUCCGCAAAAGAUUGAAUGUAGAAGCUAUAUCUAUUCUACAUCCACCUGCUAAAGGAGACAUUCCAGAUAAAUCAGAGCGCGACAAAGAUAGCUUUCCAUGGCUCCGAGUUUGACGGAGGAGGGCCGGGCCGCCCAGGUCGGGCCGUUGCGCCGUUGCCGGCCGCCUUGCCGCCCGUGUCCCCGCCGGCGGCGGCGGCCGCUGACCAGCCGAUCCGCCGCGGCCGCGGCCGGCCACCCAGCAAAGGGCCGUGCCCAGCAGAGGGCAAGUGGCUGCACCGGGGCCGAGCCCCUUUUCGGCUUUGAAAAGCCGCCCCCCUAGUCGUUUCUGAAAUGCAGGUGCACAAUUAGGUCACGCCCAUUGGCUUAGUCUAGGAUAUUGGAGUUGUCGACAUGUCAGCUAAAGUGGCAGCUGCCACAAUUCACGUGUGGUUCGUGAAUUUGUUUUUUUCUGCUAACCUGUGCAAACAGGUAUAUUUUGCCUUGUGGUGCAUUAUUCAAGCAACUGUUCCUCAUUGGUCAUGUGUGCGCGUGUAUUUGCUAGGUGACUCGGUGGCUAGGAGGCUAGGAGGCGUGGUGACUUGGCAGCUUGGUGGCUUGGAGGUGAGGUGGCUCGGUGGCUAGGAGGCUUGGUGGCUCAGUGGCUCGGUGGCUAGGCGGCUUCACAGCUAGGCGGCUUGGCAGCUACAUGGCUUGGAGGCUAGGCGGCGAGGAGGCUAGGAGGCUGGGCAGCUAGGCAGCUAAGUGGCUAGGUAUAAAAUCUAUCUGGAUGUUUCUUAAGAGUUAGGGAAUGCCCGGAGUGAGUGAGUGUCACUCAUGGGGGUUGUUGGCAAGUGAUUGACACUCAUACUAUGUGUAGUACACCAGAGAAUGGUGACAGCAGUAAUCGGACCUGGGGAGUUCAGUGCGUUGCUUUGUCUUAACAGGCUGUGAGCCCUAUUGAGAGUGAAAACAUAACCGGAUGUUGAACACCACAUGAUCAGGUCUCCCACCCAGUCAGAGUCGCUAUACCUAGACAUUUGAGCAUCAUCAACACGCCCAAAACGCAAUCCUAGUUCGUGUGUACCCACCAGGUAACAACGAAUGCCGGUUGCCAGGUUCAUGGCACUCUUUGAGGGUGUGGCCAUAUGCCGGAACAAAAUACUCAAUGCAUAAGCAAUGUCAGGCUGUGGAUUCAUCUCUAGGUAGUUCAACUCUCCCACGAAAGCCCUAAACUUCGUGGGAUUGCUCAGCAGCUCGUUCUGAUCCCCAUAGCCUAAAGCCUGAAGGUAAAGGGGUAGACUGGAGCUUGGCAUCCACCAUCUGAUGAUAUGCUCUAGCAGCUGCUCAAUAUACCUAUGUUGCGAGAACACCAGCUCACCUGCCUUCUCAUUCCUAAUCUCCAUGCCUAAAAACACCUGCACUUCUCUAAGGUCUCGCACCUUAAAAACCUUCACAAUGGCUGCGUUAAGAGCACGGACCAUUUCUGGAUCCUCUGAUGCCAUGAUGGUAUC